Molecule: ribosomal RNA, 648 nt
Filed under: Triticum aestivum (bread wheat)
Lineage: Eukaryota; Viridiplantae; Streptophyta; Magnoliopsida; Poales; Poaceae
Description: partial small subunit ribosomal RNA
Source: RNAcentral
AUGGAUGCUUUGUCACCAACAAAGUUCGAAGACACGUUUGAGAGUUUCCCGGCAGAGAGCAACAUAGGUAAUGGUGAAGGCAAUCCGGAAAAUGAUGGUAAGCGCAAAAGAAAAAAGUCGAAAUAUUGCCAAUCCCCCUACGACAUUCUCAUUACCCGCAAGAAACGUGUUAAAAAAAAUCUGUUUGCAUCGUCACCACAUUCAAUUCUAGCAAGUUCUCUUAAUAUGACUCCGGUUCACAUAGAGGCAGCCAGAGUUUUUGUUGAGACUCUAGCAUCAACAAAGAAGCAUGCACACCGAACCGUGGUCGAUAUGCCGCCACCAGAUGGGGACAUAUGCACGCCAGCUAUGCUUCACGAUGUCCUGACGUUUAAAUGGUUGAAUGGCGCUGCGUAUUUUCCUAUGCACGUUAAUGAUAAUCAUUGGAUAACCAUGGUGAUGCACACCGUCAAGGAGGAGUUUCAAGUUCUUGACUCAAAUUCUAAAGGCGCAAUUAGCCAAAGAAUUCGCAAUAUGAUUGCCACCCUGAGAGCUGAAAUUUCUAAGGAUAUUAUGGAGGCCAACUCAACUCUUGAAUCAAAAAAAUUUCCAGAUGUCUCAUCGUGGCCAAUUAAUGAGUAUAAAAUGUCGAGACAAAAAGAUGGGUAA